AUACAGAGGGUGCAAACGUUGUUCGGAAUUACUGGGCGUAAAGCGCGUGUAGGCGGCCAGGUAAGUCGAAUGUGAAAGCCCGGGGCUCAACCUCGGAAGAGCAUCCGAAACUGCUUGGCUCGAGUCCUGGAGAGGAAGGUGGAAUGCUUGGUGUAGAGGUGAAAUUCGUAGAUAUCAAGCGGAACACCGGUGGCGAAGGCGGCCUUCUGGACAGUGACUGACGCUGAGACGCGAAAGCGUGGGGAGC
This 247-nucleotide ribosomal RNA is filed under the name uncultured bacterium. RNAcentral describes it as "partial 16S ribosomal RNA". It matches the Rfam family "Bacterial small subunit ribosomal RNA", at positions 523 to 769 of the family's 1533-position model. The record is from RNAcentral.